RNAcentral lists this ribosomal RNA (253 nucleotides) under uncultured bacterium. Its description in RNAcentral is "partial 16S ribosomal RNA". It matches the Rfam family "Bacterial small subunit ribosomal RNA", at positions 524 to 776 of the family's 1533-position model. The record is from RNAcentral.
UACGUAGGGUGCAAGCGUUAAUCGGAUUUACUGGGCGUAAAGCGUGCGCAGGCGGCUUUGCAAGACAGAUGUGAAAUCCCCGGGCUCAACCUGGGAACUGCAUUUGUGACUGCAAGGCUAGAGUACGGCAGAGGGGGAUGGAAUUCCGCGUGUAGCAGUGAAAUGCGUAGAUAUGCGGAGGAACACCAAUGGCGAAGGCAAUCCCCUGGGCCUGUACUGACGCUCAUGCACGAAAGCGUGGGGAGCAAACAGG